AGAUCUGUUGGUAGGCAACGCGAAGGUGCAUUCAUGUCAUCCGGCAGGAGGAAUUCUCCACGAGUUUUGAGCAGCCUCGGUUUUCCCACCACCUCCAAAUCAUGCAAGACACAGGGUAAGAGCAAAGACAAGGUGGCUGUAGCCGAUGUCCACCCUCUCGGGGCGUCCCUUCUCUUUUCUCCUCCUUGGGCAGGGAGACCAUCCGGGUGCAACCUGGCUGGGGCGGGGAGGAGGUGCAGGGCCUGGCCAGAGCGGGCGCGGCCACGGGCAAGGGAAGGCGAGCACCUGGGCGGGGACAGUUGAGCGCGGCGCAGGCCUGGGCCCGGCGUGUCCGUGGUGCGGGCGAGAGGCCAGCAGAGGGCGCCAGAGAGCCAGGAGCGGCCCGCGGAGGAGCCCGCGCGGGCCCCGAUGCCCAGCUCCGCGCCGCGCGGACCCACCGAGCCCGCGCUCAGACGCCCCAGCUCCGCCGAGAGGCCGCUCGCGACGGGUCCUUCCUCUUCCCGAAGUGCAGGCAGAGCCCCCGGAGCCACAGCCAGCCCUUCCGGCAGCUCCGAAGCCACUGGCAAGCCCCGAGGCAGGGAUGGCCGGCCCAGGAGGGAGGAGGACGACGUCCCUCCCGAGGAGAAGAGGCUGCGGCUGUUGCUGGAGGGGGAAGCGCACAGCCCGAGGACUGCGAGGACGGGGAGGACGCGACGCGGCCGGGCAGGGAGGAGACCGGCACCCAGACAGGUGGCGACGGCAGAGGAGUGGACUCUGCCAAAGACCAGGAUACUAGAAUGCAGUGGAUUGACCAAGUGUAGUGGGACCUUGGGAACGCGAGUCUGGAGCCAGGCGGCUGGGGUUCGCAUCUUGGUUCUGCCCCUCCUUAGCUGGCUGACAUGGCACAAGCCACUUACCCUCUCUGAGCCUUACUGUCUUCAGUGGCAAAUGGAUCGGUCAACAGGCCCCAUUGCCUGGGGUUUUUACUGCUGAGAUUAAGGGAAGCUCGUCCAUAGAAGCACUUAGCAUUGUGCCUGUCACAUAGUGUAUGGUGGAUAAAUGGGACUUAGAACUGAAACUCAUGCCUUGGUGUGUUUUUGCAGUGAUGUUUUGUUCUGGGGUGCAUCACAAGAGACAAGGUCCUUGGCCAGGCGUGGUGGCUCAAGCAAAUAAUCCCAGCACUUUGAGAGGGGGAACGCCGGGAUCGCUUGAACCCAGGAAUUUAAGACCAGCCUGGGCAAUGUGGUGAAGCCUCAUAUCUACCAAAAAAAAAAAAAAAAAAAAAAA
This 1266-nucleotide long non-coding RNA is filed under the name Pan troglodytes (chimpanzee). RNAcentral's name for it is "lncRNA (ENSPTRG00000052977.1)". The record is from RNAcentral. Lineage: Eukaryota; Metazoa; Chordata; Mammalia; Primates; Hominidae.